This is a long non-coding RNA of Zingiber officinale, 387 nucleotides long. RefSeq lists it as uncharacterized. The record is from RefSeq and is a predicted model, not a curated record. NCBI's taxonomy places the organism in Eukaryota, Viridiplantae, Streptophyta, Magnoliopsida, Zingiberales, Zingiberaceae. The transcript is spliced from 4 exons.
AAGGUCGCCCUAGCAGCGAUCUUGGAGGUCACGGAUUGGAGGCAUUGAAGAUCAGUGAGUUUGUUCUUGAGCUGUCGGGCAGAGUCUAGGUUUGUAAUUGAUCAGUGAUGAUCUUCCGAUUGGGUGAUUUCUUCUGGAGACAACCUUUUGAGAUCAGCUUCUUUGCUGUGUUUGAGGUAUCGGUUGAAGUGGGAAAGAAUUCCAACAAGUGUUGUAUUCUAUGAUCGGAAAUUGAGUGUUGUGGAUCAACAAGCGUGGCUGUGAAGUUUUGUUUUGUGCUGUGGUGUUCUUUGAUCCUUUCUUGGUUCCGGCAGCACACCAACCAACAGCCUCCUAGUUCCAACAUCAACAAUAGCUGGGAUUGAGGACUCUGAUUCGAGACAGGCG